RNAcentral lists this ribosomal RNA (253 nucleotides) under uncultured bacterium. RNAcentral describes it as "partial 16S ribosomal RNA". It matches the Rfam family "Bacterial small subunit ribosomal RNA", at positions 524 to 776 of the family's 1533-position model. The record is from RNAcentral.
UACGUAGGGAGCAAGCGUUGUCCGGAAUCAUUGGGCGUAAAGCGCGCGUAGGUGGCUUCGUAAGUCCGUUGUGAAAGUCAAAGGCUCAACCUUUGAAAGCCGAUGGAUACUGUGAAGCUAGAGUACGGAAGAGGCGAGUGGAAUUCCUGGUGUAGCGGUGAAAUGCGCAGAUAUCAGGAAGAACACCCGUGGCUAAGGCGGCUCUCUAGUACGGUACUGACGCUGAGACGCGAAAGCGUGGGGAGCGAACAGG